UACGGAGGGAGCUAGCGUUGUUCGGAACUACUGGGCGUAAAGCGCACGUAGGCGGCGCAGCAAGUCAGGGGUGAAAUACCGGGGCUCAACCUCGGAACUGCCCUUGAAACUGCAGUGCUAGAAUCUUGGAGAGGCGAGUGGAAUUCCGAGUGUAGAGGUGAAGUUCGUAGAUAUUCGGAAGAACACCAGUGGCGAAGGCGACUCGCUGGACAAGUAUUGACGCUGAGGUGCGAAAGCGUGGGGAGCAAACAGG
This 253-nucleotide ribosomal RNA is filed under the name uncultured bacterium. RNAcentral describes it as "partial 16S ribosomal RNA". It matches the Rfam family "Bacterial small subunit ribosomal RNA", at positions 524 to 776 of the family's 1533-position model. The record is from RNAcentral.